UGAUAUCUGCCUGUGACUAGUUUAGCAUAGAUUAUUUUGAAUUUUCCUUUCUCAUUUCACAUUCAUCUUUAAAGUUUGUGUUAAAUCGUCCAAGGUGCAUUCUCUAGUCAAAACGUUAAUAUCGCUUCUCCUGAUAAUGACAUGAAACACAUGACUCGCAAGCGAGGGACUGGAGUUUGCUGGGAUGUUCUCCACUCCUUUCUCUGUAUUUUCGUGGCAAUGGGUUGGAUUAUGCACCUGUCAAUUUCCUGCAUUGAAGGACUUUUUUGGG
RNAcentral lists this long non-coding RNA (271 nucleotides) under Ricinus communis (castor bean). RNAcentral's name for it is "long non-coding RNA (RCOM_LNC000530)". Lineage: Eukaryota; Viridiplantae; Streptophyta; Magnoliopsida; Malpighiales; Euphorbiaceae. The record is from RNAcentral.